This 558-nucleotide ribosomal RNA is filed under the name uncultured bacterium. Its description in RNAcentral is "bacterial SSU rRNA". It matches the Rfam family "Bacterial small subunit ribosomal RNA", at positions 338 to 916 of the family's 1533-position model. The record is from RNAcentral.
CCUACGGGAGGCAGCAGUGGGGAAUCUUGCACAAUGGAGGAAACUCUGAUGCAGCGAUGCCGCGUGAGUGAAGAAGGCCUUUGGGUUGUAAAGCUCUUUUGUAGGGGAAGAUAAUGACUGUACCCUAAGAAUAAGGUCCGGCUAACUUCGUGCCAGCAGCCGCGGUAAUACGAAGGGACCUAGCGUAGUUCGGAAUUACUGGGCGUAAAGCGCGCGUAGGCCGUUGAGUUAGUUAAUUGUGAAAUCCCAAAGCUUAACUUUGGAACUGCAAUUAAAACUGCUCGACUAGAGUUUGAUAGAGGAAAGCGGAAUACAUAGUGUAGAGGUGAAAUUCGUAGAUAUUAUGUAGAACACCAGUUGCGAAGGCGGCUUUCUGGAUCAACACUGACGCUGAGGCGCGAAAGUAUGGGUAGCAAAGAGGAUUAGAUACCCUCGUAGUCCGUACCAUAAACGAUGAUUGCUAGAUGUUGGAAAUUUAUUUUCAGUAUCGCAGCUAACGCAUUAAGCAAUCCGCCUGGGGAGUACGACCGCAAGGUUAAAACUCAAAGGAAUUGACGG